Homo sapiens (human) is the source of this 6919-nucleotide long non-coding RNA. RefSeq lists it as uncharacterized. The transcript has 3 exons. The record is from RefSeq and is a predicted model, not a curated record. NCBI's taxonomy places the organism in Eukaryota, Metazoa, Chordata, Mammalia, Primates, Hominidae.
AGUCAGUGUAGAAAGCCCAGGCAUUGUCCCAUAGCUGGCCCUGUGUGUUUGCACUGAUUCCUCAGAAUAAGUUUGCAGAUAGCUUAACUUCCAGAAUUCCUGAGUUUCACUAGUCCCCCUUCUUUAUGAUGAAUUGGAAAAAGGGUAUAUUCUGGGAUAAAGCAAGAGGAAACUGGGUGCAGCAAAGAUCCCUAGACCAUUUUUCCCAGUGGCCCAUUGCUCCUGCUGCUUUUUUCAUACCAGCUGAAUCUCCCUAAACCCCACGUCUGCGGCAAAGUCUUCGUGGUGAAACAGGUGAGUCACACUUUUCUGCUUCUCUGCAAUUACAAAUGUUAUCACCUCAUCUGACACAGAGAGGGUGUUGGUUGGAAAUACGCAUUAGGAAUAAGCUCUUUGGAAACAGCAAAACUGCCUUCAUGAAAUGAAGACUUUUUUUUAGAAAGUCUGGAGCUAAAGUUAUAAAAAUAAAGAGGCGUCAUCUCCCUUUCCUUCUCCUACAAUAAUGGAAAUGAAAUAUCAAAGUAAACAGCACCACAUCCAUGUCCUCAGCACAUGUGACUCGCUAACAGAACCAUGCCAGCCACCCCAUCCCUUCUCUCCCAUAUUCUCUGCUGUUCUCACUGUCUCUCAAGACCUGAUUUAAAACCACCUUCACUAAGAAGUCUUCCUGUCCCCCUUCUGGUCCUUCACGGAAUAUUAUUUUGCUUCUGAAACUUAAAAAAACAAUUUUGUUCUCAGGUCAUUCUCUGUGUACAUCCCAUCUCGUCCAUCCUACAGAUUAGAUGUUCUUCCAGGGUAGAGGCGACCCCAUCUCAUGUCUUUUUAUUCUCCCUCUGCUUUUUAUUCCCACAGGCAGUCUUCAGUACAAGAAGCGUCAAUCUCAGAUCUUACUCAUUUCCAACCUGUACCAAUCAAAGGCCCUCCCAGCCAAGAUAAAAGCAAAGUCUCCCUCCUCCAGAGCACAUGGGAAUGGCCCCCCAGUAGCUGGGGCAUGCAAGCUAAUGAAGUUUCAUCUUCCACCUCUAUCCAAAUAUGACCUUGCUGAUACCAUCUCCUAUUAGAUGACAAAUCCGGAUGUUUCUAUUGCAUGGUUGUUAUUUGCCACAUGCUUCCUGGACAAGUUUCUAGGUAACCUUAAUGUCUGUGCUUCUGGGGAAGGAGGAGUAGAAAAUAACUCACCUCUUCAGUAAGUGGUUUUAAAAAUAUAACAGUGUUUAAAAGCUUUUAGAGAGCAGCUCUCCUUCCGGCUGCUCCAGCUCUGUUUGCUUUGUGAUAGGAGCCCCCGUAACACUUCGUGCUUGGCAACAUCUGACGAGGACAGAAGGCAGGUUUAAAGCUGAGAAGAUUGAUUUUUCCUUUGUAGGGCUUUCCAUGAGGGGCGUGGGAGAGAAGUCACUUGGGGAAGCAGUGGUCAGUGAGGUUUACUUCUCCAUAUGCUCUGCAUUCAUGUGUAAGGCUAAACAAACGUGUUGUCUCCGCAAGCAAAUCCCACACCACAGAGAGGAGCAGUUUGUCCUGGAGGUCCUAAGGAGGUGACCAGUGACCUGGAGGGUAAAAGGUUGGGGCUCCUGAGACCUUUCUUCCAACUCUCAUUUCCAUCCUAAACUGGCAGGGGAAAUGUACCCAAAUUGCCUGUGUGUUUCGAUUUGAUGUGGACACACUGUGACCACUCAGGAUCGCUCUGGUGCUGCUGAACUCCAUGGUUCAUAUUAGGCCCGACUGUCUAGUUUUAGAAAGUGGGAGGAGAUUUCCCCUCUGCCAGGGCUUGGGGUUUAUGUUCCCCAGAGCAUUGAGCAAGAGCCUCAUGUUUACAGAAAUCUCAGGCCCCAUGAUUUCUUCCUGUCAGGGUAGAAGGAGAAGGAGUAGGCACAGACUGUGGAGUAGAUCUUGCCACUUCAGUCCCUUUGUUCUUGCCCAGCAUGAGGUUACCAAGGAAAGGAUACCUGGGGCGCUGGGGGUGAGGCCAGCUGCCAUGUGUCAGGACACUCAGGCAGCCUGUGGAAAGCUGCACAUGGUGAGGAACAGAGGGCUCCAGUCAAACGACCAAUGCCAACAACCAUGUUCCCAGGUGCUGCUGUUGCUGCCGGGGGUCAGAGGAUACCCUCUGAGAACUGGUGCUCUGACAAACAAUGGGUAAGCAUGGCUGUUGUUAGGCUAUCCUUAUCAGUGUGAGUACAGAUCAGAACAAGGGUGUAGAACAGAUUUCCUUUUGUUCUGAGCUGAAUGCAAACAGCAAUUACCAUACGUUGCACCAAUAGGUGGAAACUGAGUCUGGCCAUGAUGCAUUGCAUCCCACCUCCAGGCAGAAUACAGGAGGAGGGGUGGUUACAAUAGUGGGUGGGGGCCCUGAGGGCUGUCAAGUUAUCUGUGGAAUGGCCUCAACUCAAGGGUAAUGUUAGCAGGAAGGGAGGCAUUUUCAUAGCAGAUUGAGGUGUUUACCUGGUUGAAGAAGCCGAGGCAGUGAGGAAUGCCUGGCCCAGAGCAGAGCAGGGCAAUGGAAAUGUUACCUCCUGUAAAAAGGGGUUUACAUCAGUACUCUUGGGAGAAAAACUUUCAAGGAGGCAGAACAUGACUGGGCUGUGAGGAGACCUUACUGGGUCCCUCCAGUUACCAGGCCAAUUUUGGGGCUCAGCACCAAGCCUGAGAGGAUGAGCUCUUAAGGCAGGCUGACAGGAGGUGGGUACAGUGGGGGAGAUAAGACCUGUGUUGUUUUUUGUUUUUUUUUUUGAGACACCGUCUCACUCUGUCACCCAGGCUGGAGUGCAAUGGCGUGAUCUUGGCUCACUGCAUCCUCCGCCUCCCGAGAUGAAGUGAUUCUCCUGCCCUAGCCUCCUGAGUAGCUAAGAUCACAAGCGCCCGCUACCAUGCCCGGCUCAUUUUUGUAUUUUUAGUAGAGAGAGGGUUUCACCAGCUUGGCCAGGCUGGUCUCGAACUCCUGACCUCAGGCAAUCCGCCCGCCUUGGCCUCCCAAACUGCUGGGAUUACAGGCCUAAGCUUCCACGCCCGGCCACGACCUGCAUUCUUGGCUAGCGCUGAUACCGAUGGACCUUUCCUGGCCUGUUUCUUCUUGGUGGUUUAUCCCACCUCAUGCUAAAAAUAGUUUAAAAGAAGGGCCCAUUGAGAAAGCCUGGAAACAUCUGUAAAAGGCAUAAAGAGGCCGGGCGCGGUGGCUCACGCCUGUAAUCCCAGCACUGUGGGAGGCCGAGGUGGGCGGAUCACAAGGUCAGGAAAUCGAGACCAUCCUGGCUAACACGGUGAAACCCCGUCUCUACUAAAAAUACAAAAAAUUAGCCGAGCGUGGUUGCGGGCGCCUGUAGUCCCAGCUACUCGGGAGGCUGAGGCAGGAGAACGGCGUGAACCCGGAAGGCGGAGCUUGCAGUGAGCGGAGAUCGCGCCAUUACACUCCAGCCUGGGAGAGACAGAGCGAGACUCCGUCUCGGGAAAAAAAAAAAAAAAAAAAAAAAGGCAUAAAGCAUUGAUUGUCAAGUGGUCUGGUAAGAAAAUACUUACUGCGCUUCCUUACUUUUGCUCAUUUUUCAUUCCCAAAAGGGCUUCUUUUCAGUUUCUCUGACCCUCGGGCAUCUUUCUCCCAGCCCCCUUGUUUCAGUUUCCUGCUUGCCCACCAAUAACCUCGUUAGAGCCACACCACACACAUGGUUCGCCUGCUGCUGACAACAGACAGAGCUCAUGGGCAAUUUUAAUAGUGCAGAUGUUAUUUCUCUUCUUCUCAGAGGAACGGCCUCUGAGAGCCCCACAGUGAUGGGGCUAUAACCCCAGAAACCUCCACAAGGGAGGGGCCAGCCAGUCUCGGCUCUCUGCACUCACUGUGCACCAGCCUCUGGCCUCCAGGAAGACGGAGGGCGCUGGGGAAGGCAGUCAUGGUUCCUCCCCAGCUCAAACUUUCCCAUGUGAAAUCCCGUGGGCCAGUUUGAGGUCCACUGGCCACUAAAAUGCAAUCUCUCUGUUUUGGAAACUUUCCUCAGAACUAAUUAGCAACAAGAGACGCUCACAGAUAAGAACCUCAAAUACCAAAACACCACUGAUAAGGCACUAACUGACAUGCCUAGACCUGAGGAGGGAAUCAUGUCUGGGCUUCAUCUCCCCAGCAAUGGGUAGUAAAGGCAAACAAGCCAUUGAAGGAACAAGUUCAGCAACAAAAAAGCAAGGCCCUAAAUAGCUUUUGUUAAUGAGAAGUGAUUUGGAUACACAUACAUUCAGUGAGCCUAAAGUCCGUCUUACCUUGGGGCCUGUCUACCAUGCUCUUUAUGGAGCUCUCCCCUCAACAAAUAUUAGCUUUAGCCACCUCUUGGGGAAGCCUGACCCCACUGCCUCACUGUGCCACGUCCCCUUAUUAUUAAUUCUCACAGCCAACCUUUUAUUUUGGAGCAUUUACCACAACUGGAAUCAAGUUGUGUCAUUUGCAUUUCUCUUGUUCAAUGGUGUAUUCCCACCACCUAGCACAAAGUCUAUGUAAAUAUUUGCAGAACAAAUAUGCAUGGCUUCUAUGACUGAGGAACUCACAAAUAUAUAUAAGAGGGUUUCAUGCAGGACUUGCUGACAGCUUUGGUUGAAGUCACAAGAUGUGCCAUCUACAUCCACAACUUCCACACUGUAGUGUAACUCAGAUUCUGAACCCUAUAUUGCAGGACUCACAGAGAGGAGUAGUAAAAAAAAAAAGCCAGUUUUUCUCCCUUCACUUCUGGCUCCUCACUGAUGUAAGGGGUGGAAGUAGAAAAGUCAGCUCAUGUUAGAAAUCAGGGUUUCUAUAGAGGGUUGGCAGUGAGCUUCCCUCUUGCCACAAGGCUAAAGAGAACAGCUUCAUAAAGAGUACUUAGAAAAAGUAAUUUGUGACACCUCAAGCUUGGGGGACACACAGGGCUGGUAUGUGACUUGUGCCUGAAAAUAAAGGUCUAGCAGAGUCAAGGAUGCAUUUGGAAGUCACUACACUCACGGAUACCAGCCCAAAAGUGCUGAUUGGUCUAUGACUGGGGUGGGAGUGUGGGUGAGCGACCAGAUGGGACACCUCGAGUUGGCAUGUUGGUAUGAUCAUUUUUAAAUGGGCAGUAAGCUUACUAGCUUCUUGCCUGAAGUGACGGCAGUAUGCUAUUGGAGGCAGAUGCUGAAGGCCACUGCAAGGGCCAGCCAUAGGAGAGGUCAGAGGAGUCCGAGGCAACCAGGGUGGGCUUUGACAAUGCCCAAAGGAAACCAAGGCCAAGGACUUCAAAGCUGUCAUUCAAUCAGCCCUCUCAUGCUCCUUGUCUCUCCUCCCUACCUUCCCACCCUUUCAUCCUGGGAAAUGCUGGGUGGUGGGAGGAGUGGGGAGGAUGGCAAAAAGCACUUGGCUUCCAGACUAAAGCAGGCCUAAGCUGGACGAGGGGAGAAUAUUCAGUUCUAAAUGUAUUUCAGAACUGUGGCUGUUACAUGACUGGACUUGUGAGUUACUGAAAUGAGGCCCUUGCUAAAAGUGAAUACAGGACUUAUUUAAAAGUAGCUGUCUCUGAGGAAUUCUGGGAACCGCCAGAAAUUUCAUCUCUGAAGGCAAACAGCCCCCAAAAAGUGGAUUUGUAGGGACACACAUGACAAUCGCUGUUGCUUUAUGAUUGUCCCUCAUGGUCAAUGUGACAGUGUUUAAACUUCACAGGCAUUAUCCUACAUUACCAGGGAUGAAAGAAAGAAGAUCUAGGGGUUUAGGCAAAUUGCCCUGGGUCAAAGGUAGGUGAAUGUCACAACUGGAACUCAGGCCCAGGGUAGAGAACUCCAUGUUCCGUUCUUUCCCCCAAUACCACAAAGCAUUUUCUAUCCUCCCCAAUUUUUCAUGCUUUUAGGUCCCUAUUUCUGACCUGGCCUUGUCACCAUCUAUAUGUCAGGUCAUUUUUAACCAAAGACAAGGGGAAAAUGGUAAGAUGUGCAUGCUAACAGAAGAGGGGAGCCAGGGUCAUUCACUCAGUCAAGAGGAGGGAGUGAAGAGAAGGGAGGAGCAGGUGGGGAGGGUGAGUUAAGGAAGGGAGGGGUGGAUGAUAAUUGGCUACCACAGCAAUAAAGAUUUGUCAACAGGGGCAGAGAAAGAGGAGGGAAGGAGGAGGGUGGAGAAAAAGGUGGCUUUGCUGACGGUCCCUAGUGUCCCCUUACAGCUGUUCUCAGCUGCAGAGUUCUGAAGCUCAGGUGGCCACGAGACCCCUAGAGACCCUCCUGGCACUCCUUUGACAAGGCUGAUUUAAAUGAACUCUAUCCUUGGGAGGAGAAGGAAAAACUUACAGGUGUAAGAAAGAGUGAUUUUCACAGCAGCCUUUUAUCCAAAGCAUCUUACCUGUAACGAACAACCCCCUCUAGUAACUAGGUGGCAAGAAGCACUUAGGCUUCCAGACAAAAACGCUCUUUUAAAAACUGUCCUCUAUAAAGACAACUGGAAAAGAGAAUAGAGAGAAUAUUCAAAGUUCAGCUCAAGUUGAGAACAAAUGCAUCAGCACUGUGUCUAAGUUACUGGUAGCCAAGAUGCCAAGAGAAGCUAAUGUGGGACUUGAAAAGAUUCACAGAGGGCCGGGCGUGGUGGCUCAUGCCAGUGCUGCUAAUCCCAGCACUUUGGGAGGCCAAGGUGGGCAGAUCACGAGGUCAGGAGUUCAAGACCAGUGUGGCCAACAUAGUGAAACCCCGUCUCUACUAAAAACACAAAAAAUUAGCCGGGUAUGGUGAUGUGUGCCUGUAAUCCCAGCUACUCAGGAGGCUGAGGCAGGAGAAUCGCAUGAACCCGGGAGGCGGAGGUUGCAGGGAGCUGAGAUCGUGCCACUGCACUCCAGCCUGGGCAACAGAACGAGACUCCCUCUUAAAAAAAAAAAAAAAAAAAGAUUCACAGGAAAAAAAAAGUAUUUCAUAGAGAAAUCUGAUUUUUGAUAGAGAAAUCAAUAGCAGAGCUUUUAAAAUG